This 205-nucleotide ribosomal RNA is filed under the name uncultured bacterium. Its description in RNAcentral is "partial 16S ribosomal RNA". It matches the Rfam family "Bacterial small subunit ribosomal RNA", at positions 568 to 774 of the family's 1533-position model. The record is from RNAcentral.
CGUGUAGGCGGCCCUGCGAGUCGGGUGUGAAAUCCCAUGGCUCAACCAUGGAAGUGCAUUCGAAACUGCAGGGCUAGAGUCCCGGAGAGGAAGGUGGAAUGCUUGGUGUAGAGGUGAAAUUCGUAGAUAUCAAGCGGAACACCGGUGGCGAAGGCGGCCUUCUGGACAGUGACUGACGCUGAGACGCGAAGCGUGGGAGCAAACA